GACAGAGGGUGCAAACGUUGUUCGGAAUUACUGGGCGUAAAGCGCGUGUAGGCGGACCUGCAAGUCGGGGGUGAAAGCCCGAGGCUCAACCUCGGAACUGCCUUCGAUACUGCGGGUCUCGAGUCCGGGAGAGGUGAGUGGAAUUCCUAGUGUAGAGGUGAAAUUCGUAGAUAUUAGGAAGAACACCAGUGGCGAAGGCGGCUCACUGGCCCGGUACUGACGCUGAGGCGCGAAAGCGUGGGGAGCAAACAGG
Molecule: ribosomal RNA, 253 nt
Filed under: uncultured bacterium
Lineage: Bacteria
Description: partial 16S ribosomal RNA
Rfam family: Bacterial small subunit ribosomal RNA
Source: RNAcentral